This is a long non-coding RNA of Hemibagrus wyckioides, 1294 nucleotides long. RefSeq lists it as uncharacterized. The transcript has 3 exons. The record is from RefSeq and is a predicted model, not a curated record. NCBI's taxonomy places the organism in Eukaryota, Metazoa, Chordata, Actinopteri, Siluriformes, Bagridae.
UUGUCACAGCAGAUGGAGACAAAAUACAUCUUCAGCCUGACUACACCCAAAAGGCCAUGAGACAGCGUUCAGCCUUCAACGAGGUAUGUGGUCUAUCAGACGCUGUGAGGGUGUACACUAUGGCCUGUUCUAUGCUGCCGAGCUGAGAAUCACCGCGAAAAAUGGAGUAAGGCAGAGCUUUAAAGAUCCAAAGCAGGCUAUGGACUUUGUGAGAGACACUUUGAAGCCUUAAUGCAAAUAAUAUGACCUACAGCAAAUAGCCAAUUGAUGUAUGGAUCCACUUUUGGUGGUAAUAAACAAGCACCUUCAACCCCAACAGAAUACAAAGACAAUUCAGCUGCGAGUGACCAGUCUGAAUUUGAAGAUGACCAACAAGAAACUUCAUGUCAGCACAGGUCAGAGGGUAAUAGUGACAAAGCUCAGGACCUGCAUAACAACAACCCCACAGAUUGCAUUCUGCCAGGACCACAUGCUCCAGUUUUUUUUUUUUUACUUUUUCAUAUUUCUAGAGGGUAUUGUCUAAAUGGAUGUUAAUGAUGAGCAUAUGUAUUUUAAUGCUAUUCCUAAAACCUUUUUAAAAAAAUGAUCAAUUAUCUACAUAUUUUUAGAGGGUCUAUGGUUAUGUAAAUUGGUUUUAUUCAAACUUAAUAUGCAGAAACAACUAUGUAUUCUAGGUUGAUUUAAUUGACAAAUUGCACACUCUGCACAGCUAAUUAUUUUCGUUAUUACUCAUUGUUUAAAUUGAUUGCGGAUCCCUGGAAGGCUGGUCAUUGCUACAUGUACAUGUCGGGCUCCUAUGUGCACCAGAAAUGGCUCUCUGUGCAAAAGGAAAUCAAGGUGCCCCAAGAGAGCUACAAAGGCUCAGUGACACCCAGUGGGCUUGUCGGUACCAGGCUUGCAAAAACAUUAAGGACAGACGGCCUGCUGUAUUGCAGUGGUUUUAUUUCACACCAUUCUGGACUGUUUGAGAGGGGAGAUGCAGAGCCGUUUCAGUAAAUCAAACUGUAUACAAGCUAUACAAGCAAGGUAUACAAGCACUGAAUCCUAAAAGCAGAAGCUUUCUGGAUAAAGAGACCAUUUUUUAGCUUUGCUAGGAUUUAUGAAUGUGAUACUGAAGACAUAAAACAUGAACUGCAUCAAGUGAGGAGGGUUAUAGAAAGGAAAUCCCAGACUAGGAUUGAAUUGUCUAGUCUCCUAGAGUUUACCAUCUUCAGCUUUUUCGCUUGUGCUGCAUAACUAUGGCCUUACCAGUCUAAUGGUAAGGCUAUGGAAUUAAACACUAUGAUGUUAUGGC